RNAcentral lists this unclassified non-coding RNA (404 nucleotides) under soil metagenome. RNAcentral's name for it is "partial contains 5.8S ribosomal RNA, internal transcribed spacer 2, and large subunit ribosomal RNA". The stretch from base 1 to 122 matches the Rfam family "5.8S ribosomal RNA", at positions 35 to 154 of the family's 154-position model. The record is from RNAcentral.
GAUGAAGAACGUAGCAAAAUGCGAUACUUGGUGUGAAUUGCAGAAUCCCGUGAACCAUCGAGUUUUUGAACGCAAGUUGCGCCCGAAGCCUUUUGGCCGAGGGCACGUCUGCCUGGGCGUCACGCAUCGCGUCGCCCCCCACAAUUCUCUGUAAAGGGAACUCGUGUUUUGGGGGCGGAUAUUGGUCUCACGUGCUCAUGGCGUGGUUGGCCGAAAUAGGAGUCCCUUCGAUGGACGCACGAACUAGUGGUGGUCGUAAAAACCCUCGUCUUUUGUUUCGUGCUGUUAGUCGCAAGGGAAACUCUAAGAAAACCCCACCGUGUCGUCUUUUGACGGCGCUUCGACCGCGACCCCAGGUCAGGCGGGACUACCCGCUGAGUUUAAGCAUAUCAAUAAGCGGAGGA